AACGAACGCUGGCGGCAGGCCUAACACAUGCAAGUCGAGCGAGAUCUUCGGAUCUAGCGGCGGACGGGUGAGUAACGCGUGGGAAUAUGCCCUUCUCUACGGAAUAGCCCUGGGAAACUGGGAGUAAUACCGUAUACGCCCUACGGGGGAAAGAUUUAUCGGAGAAGGAUUAGCCCGCGUUGGAUUAGGUAGUUGGUGGGGUAAUGGCCUACCAAGCCUACGAUCCAUAGCUGGUUUGAGAGGAUGAUCAACCACACUGGGACUGAGACACGGCCCAGACUCCUACGGGAGGCAGCAGUGGGGAAUCUUAGACAAUGGGGGAAACCCUGAUCUAGCCAUGCCGCGUGAGUGAUGAAGGCCUUAGGGUUGUAAAGCUCUUUCAGCUGGG
This 388-nucleotide ribosomal RNA is filed under the name uncultured bacterium glc1. Its description in RNAcentral is "bacterial SSU rRNA". It matches the Rfam family "Bacterial small subunit ribosomal RNA", at positions 29 to 444 of the family's 1533-position model. The record is from RNAcentral.